UACAGAGGUCUCAAGCGUUGUUCGGAUUCAUUGGGCGUAAAGGGUGCGUAGGUGGCGCCGUAAGUCAGGUGUGAAAUUUCGGAGCUUAACUCCGAAACUGCAUUUGAUACUGCGGUGCUUGAGGACUGGAGAGGAGACUGGAAUUUACGGUGUAGCAGUGAAAUGCGUAGAUAUCGGGAGGAACACCAGUGGCGAAGGCGACUUCCUGGCCUGUUCUUGACGCUGAGGCGCGAAAGCUAGGGUAGCAAACGGG
This 253-nucleotide ribosomal RNA is filed under the name uncultured bacterium. RNAcentral's name for it is "partial 16S ribosomal RNA". It matches the Rfam family "Bacterial small subunit ribosomal RNA", at positions 524 to 776 of the family's 1533-position model. The record is from RNAcentral.